Molecule: long non-coding RNA, 2847 nt
Organism: Lolium rigidum
Lineage: Eukaryota; Viridiplantae; Streptophyta; Magnoliopsida; Poales; Poaceae
Exons: 5
Source: RefSeq, a predicted model, not a curated record
UCAUGUAUUUGCCUCUCGCUGCCUUCUCUGAUGAUUUUUUGCUUUUUUGGGCUGGUCAUUCUCCGCAAGUUUUGCUGCACACAAGGUUGAUUUCUGUGUGAUGUGUUGCUGGUAUUGUUAUGUAUUCUUUCAUGGCUGGUUUAUGGCAUGCAUUGCUGAGUAUUUCUUUAUUCUAUUUGUCAAAUUUUUGACUUAUUUGCCCUCUCCUUGUGGUGUUCGAAGACUUUCGUCAGGUGUGAAUAUUGAGUGUGUUUGUGCCGGUGUUAGAUUUACUUUGGGAAUUGAAAAUCAGGAGAUAAUAUGAUCCUCUUGUUUACCUUUCUUGCAGUAAAGGUGCUUGAGUUUACUGUCUUUCCUUUGAAUUAUUUGUUGUUUCAUUUUUCUUCUCAAAUUGCAAACCAGCUUCGUUAGGUUUCUUCUUGUGGCAUGAAAUUUGAACUUAUGGAUAAUUUGAUGUUGUAUUAUUUGAUCUUAUGGUGAUUGAUGGCUAAAUUUAAAAGCUUUUUCCUAUUUUCCCCUCUGAUGAAUUUAAGGCCUUUGCCUAUUUUGGUUGAAUAUGUUCUUGAUUUGAGCCCGUUUCAUUCAAGUAUUAUACCAUGAUUUUCACAAACAUUCGAAACUGAUUUGGGUUCAGACUUGUGUUCUGUCGGAGACUAAAAGGAGGUGAACUCGAUCUGUCUACUUCGUGAUAUGUAGUUUAAAUUUAUUUUAUGCGACAAUGCUACUGUUUAAUAUAAGUAUUUUAUGUACCGUAGUUUGAUCUAAUGAAACUAAAGAAGCCUUGACAAAGGUCUAAGGAGAAUGUUGGUACUUUUACUGUUGCCAAUGCUUCUAGUAUAAGGUACCUACUUGUUGCAUAUGGUUUUUGGAUCACCCAAUGCAUUCUGAAACAUGGUGUUUUUUUUUCUUUCUUUCUUUGCCUGGUAUGCUUGUAUUUCAAUCCAAGAAAUGGAAAAUUUCUUCUCCCUUUCCAACUCAAAUUUGAUAAAUUCUUUCAUGUUUUUGGCUUUUCAAGCAAAUGCAAAUAUACAUCUAGAUGCAUAGCUUGAUUGGAAAUGUAAGUCUAUAGAGAAUCAAAACAGGGAACAAAAAGGCUACAAUUUUAAGAAUGUUUAUUUAUGUAUAAUUCAUUGUUGAUGAAGAUAAGCUUAUCCUGGCUCUCUUGUACAGAAACUUUUUUACUUGUUUACUUUGUCCAUUGACUGGCAUUAUGUAAUGCGCUCUCCCAAUUUCCUGGUGUGUUUAUCUAUGCACUGAAAAUGUGACGCUUCUGCACUGGAUAACAUAUGUAUGUUUUGUGUGGGACAGUGAUUGUGUUAUUGCAUUAGUAUUGGUGAGUAGGAACAAGGCUCAAGUGGCUAAAUUACAUACUCUGAGAUUCGGUUCUGAGUUCUAGGAUGGGAUUUGAGGUUGUUUAUCUACAGCUAUGGAACUUUGAUUAGAUCAUAUAUUUGAACUGUUUGGUGGCAUGUCAACUAGGUGAACCCUUCCCAGGAAGUGAAGGUGAAGAGUAAAAACGUACUGCCUGUUUUUACGAUUUACGACCCGUGUGGCCUGUUUUAUACAGUACCAAGGUUAUACUAUCUUCGCUAUUCAUGGCUUGUGUGCGUCUACAUGGUCCUUCAUGGUGUAAUUAUGUCAAGCAAAUAUUUAGAUAACUAUUGAGCUUUGUUUAGGAUUAGUGUUGCUGAAAGAAUGAUCAUCAUUUAGGAUUGGACUUGAUGCAUCUAUUCAUUUAAGAUUGAUCAUCAUAUUCUUUACGCCUUAAUACGUAAGAUAGUUUUCUUAGUUCAUGCUGAGCAAUGUUCACAUUUUGUACUUGUUGCUGUCUCCGUAUGAUUUUUGCAGAAGUAUAAUCCUGCCAUGUUCAAACGUUUCGUUCAGUUCACUAUCUAGGCUAUGUAUGGCCUGUCGUACUGGAAUGGUUAAUUUGCAAGACAAAAUAUGCAAAAAUCUAGUUCUCAGUUAAAAUGCUGAUGAAACAAUAAAUGCUAUGCUUUGGUAGUUUCUUCAGUUUUCUAGCUAAGCUAGUCAUGUUGAAUGCUAUCUCCAGCAGGGUCAUGAAAGUCUCAAUCUUCCUAGACUUGAUAUUUAUAGAGUAUUGGCAAUGAAUCUCUACUAUGAAAAGCCUUUACUAGUAGUUUCUUUGUUAGCUCAGUCUGAAGGUUUAACUUUUACUACUUGUUUGGUGGAUCUUUACCAUCCACUAUUCCCAAGAAUUCAUUCCUAGUUAUGUAUGCCUCCUAUUCAAGCUCAUAGUAUUGUUACUUUUCCUGUAACUUUGUAUUUAUCUUUCUUCUUUUUUUAUAAGGAUCGAGGAAGCAUUCAGCAAUUAUAGUGCAAGAAAAAACAAUGUACUUAAAUGUUUACAGGGCUGUUUAGUAGAUCCACUGAAGUAGAACAACAAGUUUGGGUGCAAUGUCAGCAAAGGUGGAUGUGUUUCAGCUUGGUCUCAAGGACGUCGUGCCCUGGUCUAGGUUAAAGCCUCUAUGGUGGUGGACGGAUGGACAGACGAGACGCCGACGGAGCCUUGUUCUUGGACUUGCGGUGGUCUUUGUCAAAUUCUGCUAAAGAAACAACCUUGUCAGCCACUGAAGCUUCUUUUUCGUAUCAUUCCAGGGAAACUGAUGCAACCGAUACAUGAACAUCUCACCUGGAUCUGGGUUUGUCUGAUGCUGCCAUGUUGCAGAUGGAGGUUGACCUUGCACCUUGGAAAUCAACUAUUGCAGUGCUACCUGUCCACCAUGCCUUUUCCCUGGAACCAUAAUCGGUUCAAGUUGAACAACAGUAUAGUUUACAAAACAAUGAUUGCUGAAGAAGAUGAGACUGGCCAGAGAUGAGAUUUUG